GGCAACUUGGCGGAGUGGUUAACGCGAUGCCCUGCUAUUUGCUCAGCCUCUGAGUUAAAAGCCUAGGCAUUUCCUUCGGGAGCGCAGGUUCGAAUCCUGCAGUUGUCG
Molecule: non-coding RNA, 108 nt
Organism: Hypoxylon sp. NC1633
Lineage: Eukaryota; Fungi; Ascomycota; Sordariomycetes; Xylariales; Hypoxylaceae
Source: the annotation of a GenBank genome assembly